Mugil cephalus (flathead mullet) is the source of this 2695-nucleotide long non-coding RNA. RefSeq lists it as uncharacterized. The transcript has 3 exons. NCBI's taxonomy places the organism in Eukaryota, Metazoa, Chordata, Actinopteri, Mugiliformes, Mugilidae. The record is from RefSeq and is a predicted model, not a curated record.
AUUUAGUCUAAUCCAUAACGUUAUCCAGGCUGAUGAUGAUGAUAUAUUACAUCUGACCUGAUAUGAAGUGUGUCCGUUGUGAUUGUCUCACUCCAGUCCUUUAUGUUAAUCGCCAAAGCCAAACCAAACCAAAGUUGUCAACGACUGGCAGUGGCUCAUAUGUGAUACAACUUCAAGUUACUUGUCUUGAUUUUUUUAGUUUUAGCAAACAAAAAUGCAGCAAAACGGCGGUUUCAUGGCUGAAAGUGACAGCGUUGACCUCAAGCUUCCCUUCAGUUAACAUCGUGACGUCACAGCGACGUAGUCCAUGAAAUGGUCUGUGCGUUGAGUUCUCUGAAGAAACAGCGUCGAAAAAGGAACGCUUCAAAUAACGCUGACAACAGCUCGUCAAGGUCUUGAGACUAUCCACAAGCGCAACAUGAAAAUCUUCCCCUGCUCGCUGACUGUAACCAGGAGGUCUGUGUGCUAUCGAAGAGCGCUCGAUGCUGGUGAGGACGCUGCGCCGUGACUCUUCAAUAAGCGCGACGUUGACUUCUUUUGUUUGUGUUUGUUGACAGUGCAAACCGAUUCCCGGCCAUUUUGCACAACGCAGUGGACUCCUUAACUGCUGCAGCUGUGUCCAUGAAAUUCAUACCAGUUAACAGACCUUCAGGGAGGUGAGCCGCCGUCCCCGUCUUCAUGACGGCGCAGCACAAGUGGUUGCGGGGGAAACCUGAGAAACCCGCCCACAAACGCACGCAAACCUUUAACAGAUGCCCACAUGAAAGACGUCCGCUCAGAAUAACGCUAAAAUGAUGUGAAGUUCGUCAGAACAAAACGGGCUCGUGGUAAUUUUUCAGCAGACGUGCACUUCUAUACUCGGAUUCAAUUAAAUCUUUUAACGCAGCGCAAUUUGCGUGCGCGGAGCCAGAAGACUGCCCGUUAUCUCCCUGAAAUGGACUGUGACAGUAAAUAUAAUUCUCACCUGGCUGGUGCGCAUAUGGAACCCAGAAGCUUUAAAAACAGGCUGCCCUAAUUCAGCCGAGUUAAUCUGUCUGAAACGAGAGCUAGAAAGCUGCAGGACAACAUUAAGAGAGGUCCAAGAGGCAAUUUAACCUCUUGAGGUCGUGAACUAUUUCUUAUUUUUAAUGGAAUCUCUUGUAGGAACAGCUGGUCGGGACUGUUAUUGCGUGUUAGUGGACAUCAGACGUUGAACUACGGUGAAGCGACAGACGGGAAGGAGACAGAUUCCUCUUUACUUCACCCCGCUAUUUGCAGGCUGUCUGUUUUGUGUUGACGUGGCAGCAUGAUCGCAAAGGCUAUAAAGUUUGUUGCAGAUGUCGUCUCUCUCCAUCUCUCCUUUUGGUUCCUGCUUGUUUUUUUUCGUCUCUGUAUCCUCCUUUGCUCCUCCUCCUGAACUCAACCAUCAUUUUAUAAUCCUUUUUACUCUGAAAUUCCCCACUAGUGUCUGUGUGUUUUUGUGUGCGCAUGUGUGUGUGUGUGUGUGUGCAUGACUACUAGGCCAGUUGCCUGUGUGAUGUUCAGCCAACUUUUCCAAACACGCUCUCAGAAUACUCCUUUGCGUUCCAUGGUUGUGGAUUCCAGUUGUAAAGUUCCAGAAAUGAGCACAUAAAAUAUAGCCGCGCAUGUCUAACUGAGGCUGGACCUGCCAGACCAGACACGGAUCCAAAACAGCAGGACCCAGACCUGAACGUUCCCUUGAAGGUUUCGCUGAGUGGGAAUUGCCUUCAGAAUUACCCUGACUGGCAGGAACAAUGUGGAGAAAAUUUGACCAGAAGGCAAUAACACCUGAGCAUUUGCUUCCCAGAGAACAACACGUGUUUGUGCCGGCGCGUGUUAGUUCGCUUACGGCGCUGCUGAACUACCGGGUGGGACUUUGUCCUAUUGGAGAAGAAGGUUAGACCUGAGAGUUACGAGCAGCAGCUUUGGAUGGCGGCGCGCACUGUAAAACAUUUUAAGCGGAAUCGGUUUCAAAGUGCUGCUGCUGCUGCCAUGAAAAUGUACCCUACUAGUUUAAAAUCUGGAGUUUUUAGACUUUAGGUGUUACAUUUAAAGCAUCGACAUGCGAUAGCGCCGUGUGAAAAGUCAGAAAUGAAUUUAAAGUGGUUCUGAAUCAGUCUCAGAAUAAAGCAUGUUUUUAACUAUAUAUGUAAAUUUAAAUUAAUGAAAGAAGACAUGAAGAUGUUCAGUACAUUCCCAUCUGAUGUUUUACAGGGAAGCAUUUUCCUGUCAGAGCCGGGUGACCAGGUGUCGUCCCCACCAGAUGUUAAAUGUUUUAACCAAAGUCACCUGUUGUCAGUAUGUGGAGCGGUAAAACUCACCAGACCUGACAGACCUGACAGUCACCCAAAAAGUGCCUGGAGUUCUCAAAUGUUGCUUUCAUGCCGAACGCUGCUGUGUUGAGUUAAGGCUUAAUUCUGUCCAGUUAAGCUCUCUCUGCUUUUUCCUUUGUUUUGACUCAUCCAAUAGCUGUUUCCUGUUGCUGAGUUUUAUUGUUAGAAUUUUGGGACUCUUUAACAUGAGAUGGCAUGUGCUGUUUAUUCCUUGGAACAUAAAAAACAUCAUAAACUGUCUGCGCGAAGCAGACACUCGGCUCAAGUGUGUUUCCUGCAGACCCGCUGUGGUGCGCAGUAUUUAUGAAAUUAAUGUUUUCAGCAGACAACUCCAACAUAACACUGUUUUGCAGAAUGUACUA